Molecule: ribosomal RNA, 484 nt
Filed under: uncultured bacterium
Lineage: Bacteria
Description: partial 16S ribosomal RNA
Rfam family: Bacterial small subunit ribosomal RNA
Source: RNAcentral
AUUGAACGCUGGCGGCAGGCCUAACACAUGCCAGUCGAGCGGAUGAAGGGAGCUUGCUCCUGGAUUCAGCGGCGGACGGGUGAGUAAUGCCUAGGAAUCUGCCUGGUAGUGGGGGAUAACGUCCGGAAACGGGCGCUAAUACCGCAUACGUCCUAAGGGAGAAAGUGGGGGAUCUUCGGACCUCACGCUAUCAGAUGAGCCUAGGUCGGAUUAGCUAGUUGGUGGGGUAAAGGCCUACCAAGGCGACGAUCCGUAACUGGUCUGAGAGGAUGAUCAGUCACACUGGAACUGAGACACGGUCCAGACUCCUACGGGAGGCAGCAGUGGGGAAUAUUGGACAAUGGGCGAAAGCCUGAUCCAGCCAUGCCGCGUGUGUGAAGAAGGUCUUCGGAUUGUAAAGCACUUUAAGUUGGGAGGAAGGGCAGUAAGUUAAUACCUUGCUGUUUUGACGUUACCAACAGAAUAAGCACCGGCUAACUUCGUG